Piliocolobus tephrosceles (Ugandan red Colobus) is the source of this 2565-nucleotide RNA transcript. It is a transcript of the gene named TATA-box binding protein associated factor, RNA polymerase I subunit D, with no coding region annotated. The transcript is spliced from 10 exons. Lineage: Eukaryota; Metazoa; Chordata; Mammalia; Primates; Cercopithecidae. The record is from RefSeq and is a predicted model, not a curated record.
CCACCGCUCGCCUUCUUCCCGGGAGCUAAAUUGUAUCGCGAGAUUUCUGCCUCACUAUUACUUGGGCCGCGGAGAUAUCCCACCCUUUUCUUCCGCGCGGUUGGAGGACAUCGGCUAGUUUUCUGGAGUUGGAGGACUGAAGUCGGGACGUUAGUGUGUGCAAAUCUCCAGGACUCACGCACCAGGCCAGUCGCAGGUUUUGGCCCGAGGCCUGUGUUACGGGCAGCAAGUGCGCGGUUGGGGCCGGUGUGAGGCGGUUUUAGAAAACUGUUAAAAAACAAAGCAAUUGAUGGAUAAAUCAGGAAUAGAUUCUCCUGACCAUGUGACAUCUGCUGCUAUGGAACUUGCAAAUCAAAGUGAUAACUCUUCUGAUAGCAGCUUAUUUAAAACUCAGUGUAUCACUUACUCACCUAAAGGGGGGAAAAGAAACCCCAUUGGAAAAUUUGUUCGUACACCUGAAAGUGCUCACACAAGUGAUUCAUCAAGUGACUCAUCUUUUGAACCAAUACCAUUGACUAUAAAAGCUAUUUUUGAAAGAUUCAAGAACAGGAAAAAGAGAUACAAAAAAAAGAAAAAGAAGAAGUACCAGCCAACAGGAAGACCAAGGGGAAGACCAGAAGGAAGGAGAAAUCCUAUAUCCUCACUAAUAGAUAAGAAAAAACAAUUUAGAAGCAAAGGAUCUGGCUUCCCAUUUUUAGAAUCAGAGAAUGAAAAAAACCCGCCUUGGAGAAAAAUUUUAACGUUUGAGCAAGCUGUUGCAAGAGGAUUUUUUAACUACAUUGAAAAACUGAAGUAUGAACACCACCUGAAAGAAUCAUUGAAACAAAUGGAUGUUGGUGAAGAUUUAGAAAAUGAAGAUUUUGAUAGUCGUAGAUACAAAUUUUUGGAUGAUGAUGGAUCCAUUUCUCCUAUUGAGGAGUCAACAGCAGAGGAUGAGGAUGCAACACAUCUUGAAGAUAAUGAAUGUGAUAUCAAAUUGGCAGGCGAUAGUUUCAUAGUAAGUUCUGAAUUCCCUGUAAGACUGAGUGUAUACUUAGAAGAAGAGGAUAGUACUGAAGAAGCUGCUUUGUCUAAAAAGAGAGCUACAAAAGCCAAAAAUACUGGACAGAGAGCCCUGAAAAUGUGACAGGAUCAUGAAUGUCAAAGGCUUUUAUCUUGAGAACAUGAUGUCUGGAGUUAAAGGACUAUUGUUAGAUCUGUGGGAAGGAACUACAAGACAGUUGCUAAAAGUUUGAAAAAGACAGUUACUAAACGUUAUGAAAAACCAGAUAAUCUACUUUUUUACCUUAGGUAUUGGCAUAUACCACACAUCUACCAUUCUUGAGUGAUAGCUUAGGUAAGUUUUAAUUGGUGACAGUAUAAUCUUUUGGGAAAUAUGAUUACAGUUCAGAUGAUGAAUUUAACUGUUCAACUGCUGAAUGAUAAGGGCAUGAACUAAAACUUAAUUCUGACAGAGCUGGAUGUGGCUAUAUAAAACUGGAUCUUAAAUUUAUACUUGGGUAUUAGUUUUAAUAGCUGGAAAUAUAUCCUUUCUAAAUCUUUAAUUGGUACUUUCUAUAGGAAUGAAUGUGAUUUGAACUCAUUCAUGUUGAGAGGUAAGUAAAAUAUUUAACCUUUAAUAAUCAAGGACUCAAAAGAUGAAAAACAGAAAUUAAGUACACCAUCCCAGUAUUUCAGGUAUAACACAGAAUUAGGUAAGAUACUGGCAAAAAUGUUACUAUAUACUUGUAUAGAGAAGGAAAAUGAAGAGACUGCAUGUCUAGACCUACCAAAUGAAAUUACCUGUGUUCUUUGCAUCGUUAUUGAACUGGCAGUUACACAUACUUCAUCCUAAAGUCAUGUAAACCUGUGUGGAUAUGUUGAAUCAAUAGGGAUAUGAAUUACAUUAAAAAGAGGUUUGCGUAACUGGCAGUUUGAGCAACAGUGAGCUUGACAUUUGUAGUCUGCUUGAUCUGUUAAGUUACAUGUAUAUAUUCCAUCUGUAAGUUAUAUAGAGACUAGGCAAAGAUUAGGAAAAGACUAGAGUUGUAGCUUAAAAUACAGUUAAUGUAGCUUAUUACAGUGACAGGAAAAAAGGUCAAAUUAUUGUACUUGUUAAAGGAACUUGAAUUUGAGAGGUUUGUGAAAGCAUUUCUCAGUAGCAACGUUGCGCAUUUGGGAAUACGAAUAUGAAUAUGACAGUUCAGUCAUAAUUGCACUGCAUGGUAUCUGCAUUCAGCAGUUUACUCCUGCUAGGGUGUUCAAAGGUCAGUGCUAUAGAAAUUCAGUAUCUGGCAUCGUUGGUUUUCUUGGCUUUGUGCUUGUUAAACCUGGUAUUUCUAUUGAUACAGUAUUUAUAUAGGUUUCUCAGUGUUCAGUUUGAUAUACUCUAAAAUAGUAAGCAAUGCUUUUCUUUUUCCAGGGUGUCAAAUUGAGAACCAGGCAGAUCCCCACCACCUACAAUCAAAAGGACCCUAAAGGAAAUUGGUUGAAGAAAUUAGAUCCCAAAGAUUCUUGGUGAAUUUUGAAGUCUUCAUCAGUUUACCUAUAUUAAAAGGAGAUGACAGAAGCUAAAGUAAUUAUGGC